ACUCGGAGCCCCAGGAUGACAGUUCAGGAAAGUGAGCAUAGCUAAAUAAAUGUAUUAACAGUAUGAGAAAGUCUGUUCAAAGUCCUUUCCUUAGUGUCAAUUUUUGUGAAGCAAGAAUAGGCGUUGGCCAUUGAGUGACCACACUGCAUCACAGGUGCUGUUUGUACGCAGUAAGAACGAGAUGAAUACGAAGAUCCUAGCGUAGCAGCCACCUCUGCUGGGACUGACCGGGAGUCAUCUCACAGCUGUGGAUGUAAAUAUCGAGUCAGGAAGAUGAAGAGCUUCUAAAUAAAGAACUCAACCAGCAGAUCAGUGAAUUCCAGUUUUUAUCCAUUCUCGUACAUGUUAUUAAUUGCACGUGGGGAGCACACGUGCCCCAGCACACACGUGGAGGUCAGAGGGCAACUUGUGAGCGUUGCUUUUCUCUUUGCACCACGUGGGGCCUAGAGAUUUAAUUCGGGUCACCAGGUGAUUGCCAAGUGCUUUGCCCACAGCGUCACCCUGUCAACCCACCAGUUUCCAUUGUUAUAAGUUGAAAAGGCCGCUUGUGAAAGCAACCGUGGUUCUCAGGAAAGGACACACCAAGUUCGAUGCAGUUGCUGUGUCUGUAAUGCAAACACAUGCAGUUUAGGUUGAAUGUGUAGUAAAGUGUAGAGACACUAAUGAUGGUUUGUUUUUUAGCACGUGUCAAGUCCCCGCUGUCUCCCAUGUGUUCUGUCUAUAGUAACUGACUGAGUCCUUGCAGCCACCCUAUGGAGAAGGAGGAAUGGCAGGUCCGUUUUCGUAGCUGAGGAGACUGGGGCAUGGAAAGAUUCGAGACUCUUUCAAGGCCAUGAUAUGGGGCCGAACCGGUUUCCACAUCAGUCUGCCUGAUUCUAGAGUGUGUAAUCUAUGAAGGUUAAAAGCCUUUGUGAUUAUGCUUAGUAAACCGCAGCUCACUGUCCUAAUUUGCCUUGGACUCGUGUGUUUGUGAAUGCGCUUAACUGAACAAUGAAGAGGAAAAAGACCCCCGAAGCCCAAUCCUGGCUCCCCAUAUCCACAUAACUGAACCAUGAGGGAAAUGAGGACCCCUGAAACAGACCCUGCUCCCCAAAUCCACAUAACUGAACCAUGAGGGAAAUGAGGACCCCUGAAACAGCCCCUGCUCCCCAGAAUCCAUGUAACUGAACCAUGAGAAAAUGAAGACCCCUGACACCCCCAGCUACAUCCGGGUUGGGACUUUGCUUUUCAGCCUCUUCACUUUGCUGCUUCCACGGCCUCCACCGCUCCCUUUGUGGAGAUGCUGCUGUGGGGGGCUUUAGAUGCAUCUACCCUAAUGUUCCAACUCUGAUUACAAGUGAGAUACCUGCCCAUAAUUCCCUGAGUUCAGCUGAAAUCACGUAGUGACCUUCACAGGCCCGGCAACAAUGCUAACGUCUCCAGCAGAAGCAGAUGUAACUUGAAUCAUUUUGCUGUGUUCAGCAUCAAAAACAAACAGAAACACACGCCUUUGGCUCCCCAGAGGUACCCUUCCCUGAGUCCAGUGAUGGUGUAUAAUGCUGUCCACAUCUUGCCUAUUUGUAUUUAUGGACCAGUUUACAGGUAUUUUUCCUGCCAAGAUGAAAAUAUUCCAAAACACGAACUGUCAUGCUCCUUGGCACCGAGGUUCUGGCACAUUCCACACAUCCAACAAAUGCUUGCUCUCUGAACAGAUGGCUGAAUAAAUAGGUCACAGAAAGGAAUAGCUUUCUGCAAGUUCUCUUUGGACUCCACCAUUUUAUGAUGAUGGAGAAACGUUCAAGGACACAUGUGCUUUAAGUACCGAAUGUGAGGUCAACAGUCAGAAACUGGAGCUCGGAGCUACAGCAGCUUAUCCCCAGUGAAGAAUUCCAAGUUGAAACUGUAAUUCAAGAUAGAUCUUAAAGAGAAGCAUCGUUGAAAGACAGAAGCAAAGCAUGAGCCUUGAAGGACGCACACGAGGCACGAGAACCUUCUUCAGCUAAGGAGAGCAGAGCGGGGCUCGGGGAAGCAAUUCUGCAGCGUACUGGAAACGGAGAAGAAAGUGCAUUUUUAAAAGGUAUAAAAGUACAAGGCUCUCACUGCAGAAUCAGGCUCUCUGAGUAUGUCCUGUUUGGUGACACCAGAUUCAUGAGGCCUUCUUUGCUCAAAUAGAGUAACAAGUUAACACAGAAAGGCACUGUUGGUACUUGGAUGCAGACUAGGAAAUGAGCCACAGUCUUUUCACAGAAUUAGGAGGAAGCUGAAUUCGUGGACAACGCUGUUGUCUUCAUCCUCAGACUCUGAACUGCCCUUUGAACGGUCUUUUGAACUCUCUUCAAAAUUCUUUUCUUUUGAACCUGACUGUUUCAAAUAAGACCACAUCUGUGAUGUUGAAAUGAAAAAUGUCCCCAGAGGCCUAGGUGUUUGAACGGUCUCCAGGUGGUGGAGCUGUUUGCAGAGGUUGUGAUAGCUGUUGGAGCCUUGCUGGAAGUGUGGCAGAUGUUGAUUCCACUUCCUGCCCUUCCUCUCUGCUGCCUGUGUGUUCAGGACAUGUGAUCAGCCAGCUUCCUGCUCCUGCCUCCUUCCUUUCCCGAACACUGCCGUGUCUCCCCUGCCGUGCCGGACUCCAUCCUCCCGAAUCCACAAACCAAGCAGAUGAGUUUUCCUGAAGUUGCUUCUUCCAUAGUAUUGUAUCACAGCAACAGAAAAGAACUAAUAGCAAAUCCAUUCCUAUAAACUGAUCGAUGAAGAUAUGCCUAAAUCCUAACUGUUUAUGGGACUGGUUUUUUUGUUUGUUUCGUUUUGUUUAAAUGUGUUUUGAAGACUGGGAUGUAGCUCCAUGAUAGAAGUGCGUGGCUAGCAUAUGCAGUGGCCUGGCUUCAAUCCCCAGCCCUACCAUCCAAACAGAACAAAACAGAAAUGUUGAUUAUAAAACUACGAGAAGAAGAGAACUGGAGCUGGUAAUGCUUGGCUGACGGGAUGUAAGACAAGAGAUGGGACCCCAUCAGGCUUUGGCUUCUGCCCAUCAAAGCAAACAAUCAGAGAAAAGGCAACUCCCAGGGUAGACAAAACCGCUGCCACUCCUGGCAGGUGAGGGGUUAAUUCCAGAGAAAGAACCAUUCCAACUAAAACAACCAACAUAUAAUCCAACUUUAUUAUAGGUAAUGGAUCUUGAGAGGAUGCUCAGCAUCUCUAGUCACUAUUGAGAAAUACAAACAGAACCACAGUCACCUCAUACAUUAAGACCCCCACUAUCCACAAAAGCAGAAAAUGGGAUCAGUAAGGAUAUGGAGGAACUAGAUCCCACAUACAACAUUAGCAAAAUAGUACAAAUGUUACUGAAUAUACUCUGUAAGUCCCUCAAAUAAUAGAAGCAUCCUAUCAGCCAAAAAUCCUGCUUCCAAGCAUAUAGCCAAAGGAAUCAAAAGUUGGGCCUUGAAGAAGUAUUAGCACAGUUCUGUUCAUUUCAGUAUUAUGUACAAUAGGCAAGAGAUGGAAAUGGGUCAUUUCCAUUGACAGAUGGCAGAAUAAAGAAAAUAUUGCUCUACCUAUAAUACAAGAUUGGCCUUUAGAAAUAAAGAAACCACAUCACAUGCUCAACAGGGAUGACCUUGAUGUUAUGUUGCAAUUGCAAUCAACCAGUUACAAAUGGUGUAUGUUUUUGCUUACCUGAGUCAAAAUCAUGGAAAAGAAAGCUCAAAGUCUGUGUGUGUGUGUGUGUGUGUGUGUGUGUGUGUGUGUGUGUGUGUGUGUGUAUUAGGGGCUGAAAGGGUAGGGAAUUGCUGUGAAUAGAAUUUUAGUUUUUCAAGAUAAAAAAGUCCUGAAGAUAAGUUACACUGCAAUCUGAAUGUAGUCUAACUACUUAAACUGUAUGCUUAAAACUGUCUGAAAGGGUAUACCUUUAUAAU
Peromyscus maniculatus bairdii (prairie deer mouse) is the source of this 3887-nucleotide long non-coding RNA. RefSeq lists it as uncharacterized. Lineage: Eukaryota; Metazoa; Chordata; Mammalia; Rodentia; Cricetidae. The record is from RefSeq and is a predicted model, not a curated record.